UCCGUGAAACAAAGCGGAUGUACCGGAUUUUUAUUCCGGCUAUGGGGCAAUUCCCCGUCGCGGAGCCA
RNAcentral lists this transfer RNA (68 nucleotides) under synthetic construct. The record is from RNAcentral.